Long non-coding RNA from Leptidea sinapis, 325 nucleotides. RefSeq lists it as uncharacterized. The record is from RefSeq and is a predicted model, not a curated record. The transcript is spliced from 3 exons. NCBI's taxonomy places the organism in Eukaryota, Metazoa, Arthropoda, Insecta, Lepidoptera, Pieridae.
UCUAGCAUUUAUGACGGUUGUAAAUUGAUAUUAAUUAAAACGAUCGUUAAAAAUGUUAUUUAUGAGAUUGCAAAAGCAGACGAUAACACUUUUGAAGCGUUAUAUAGCAAUGGAGGUGUUUGUUUUAUUUUCUCUCAUGUUUAUACCCUUUAUUGUGAGUGUCGAUAAUCCUUCUACCAUGAUUAUUUCUCCAGAUGAAUUACUGCCAGAGGAAAAAUCAGUAAAUGAUACAAGAAAAUUGUCCAUACUUCGUUAUGGAUUCCACAGAACACACGAGUGCCAGAAUUUUAAACGAGCUUACCUUUGUGUACAGAAAUGUCUCGAU